This is a non-coding RNA of Drosophila suzukii, 1699 nucleotides long. The record is from RefSeq and is a predicted model, not a curated record. Lineage: Eukaryota; Metazoa; Arthropoda; Insecta; Diptera; Drosophilidae.
ACCGCCGGUAGGUGGCGCAUUUUAAUCUCGCUUUUCUUUUGUUUGUUUUCUUAGCAGAACCACUUUUAGGGGUUUUGGUGCGGCCGAUUGUGUUUCUGGCAGAGGCAACUUGUCCCGGUAGAAUAGGCUCAGUAUUAACUGGUCGACCGCUGCUUCAUGAUGGAGCUCUGAUCGUCACUUCCCGGGGGUUGCGGGGUGUUCUCACUAGGCUGCCUACCACCAGUGGCUUUUUUACGCUUUGGAGAAUCAUCCAAUAGCUUGAGGCUAUUAAAUUGUGAAUCCAGCGCUGAGAGUAAACUAUCUCUAGCUACGCCAAAGCUAUUAAUUACACCCUUUAAGCCACCUUUAGUUUAGCGCAUAAAAUAUCUCAUACCGUGCGUAACUUCUAUACAAAGGUCACAGCAAUAUAAUAAGUUAUGACACUUAGCAGGUCAUCAAUAGUUCGACCGGUAUACCCGGUUCUGAUUUUUACAAUAUCGGCUUGCAUGUUUACAGUAUUCGUUUGGUGUGGAGUGUGUGAAGCUGGGUAACACCCUAGAUUAGGGGACUCACCCGCGAAAUUCGCGAAAAAAUGGUCCUCUAAGGACCGCGAUUUCUUAAGAAUUUACGUGGAAAAGGAACUUGGCGGUCGGCCAUGUUUCUCUUGUAAUUGAAUUUUAAAGUUCCCGGAUUUGUUACCUCAGAGUUACUUGGAAGUUAGUUCUUGGCUCAAAUUUGUUUAUAAAUUGGGUGAACUAAAGUCAGAACUAGACACAACGGACUUUCCAUCCAAGUCAGGGCCACCUUUAUGAAAAUAAUAUAUUUGAUCAACCUCAACCAGUGUGUAUAGUUAUAAACUUUGAAACUAAUUCGCAGACCCUAUAAGGCGUUAUUUUCAAAAAAUUUCGUUUGGUAUACCCUAAAUUCCUCAAUGCGCACCCUAUAGGCAGACGAGAGUAGCACCUAAAAAAUUUCCAUACAAAUAUGGACCGCCCUAGUGUAUAUACGCUGGUUUUGACAAAACAAAAGUUAAAUAUACUCAUAAUUUGAACUUACUUCUUGUACACUUUGACAUCAAUGGAAAGAGAGCUUGGAUUUCUGAAAAACUGCAAAACACUGUGGCAGUUUCAGUGCUAGUUACAUUUUUUCGUCAAUGCCUAUAGAUAGACCUAAACAUAAUAUAUAUACUUUUGUAUACUACGCCCACCGCCCAAAAUUGUGAUGCCCACAGUUUAGAUGCUAGUAUAAAAACCUUAACUGAAAUGUAUUGCUCUCAUCAAUACCUAUCGAUAGACCCAAAAGCUUGACACGCCCACUUUAACGCCCACAAGCCGCCCACAAACAUCAAAAAUCCUGUACGAUACACCGACAUCAGCUUUAAGCAGUCGGGAUUUUUAGGGUUUCCAUGAGCCUCCCAGUUUGGAUACGGUCUUAUUGCUGGACUUGACUCUGUAGGAGGGAAUGGAAUGGUACCCAAACUAGCAGGCACACCAUCUUUCCAACGGGGUGUUGUCACAAACAGGCGACUUUGAUGGACAUCAAUUCCCAAAGGAGAUAGGAGUCCAUGCCUCUGUGAAAUCAACAAAGGAGAACGCUUAGUGCAGUGCCUCGACUAUCAGAAACCCGUUACUCAACUAAAGGAAGCGCAAGGGAGAUGAAGAAAUGCAUUAUGAGAUUGCGGAGUUUCACCUAGUGGCCAAUACACAGAAAAAAAUCCGAA